ACUAAAUAUUUUCGAAUUGGAGCCAGAUCGUUUUAAAACAAAACGAUACGCUAUGAAACAACUAGGUGUCUGAUUUGUUCGUUGUCUACCUACUUUCGCCCUUGUUUCGAAGACUAACAAUGUUGUUUGGUAGUAGUUCGCUGCGGUUUUCUCCCCUCCAGCCUCUGUCAGCUGAUAGCAAUGAUGUGUAUUGUAUGAAGCGUUACAUAUGAGACGUUGGUAUAUGAGGGACUGUGAAAAGACUGGUGGCCCUGGUGGCAUGUCUGGUGGGCUCUCAACCACACAGCUGAACAAUAAUCAAGAGAAGACAAAACUAGAGCCUGGAGGACUUGCUUUUUGGAGUGUGGUGUCAAAAAAGCAGAGCAUCUCUUUAUUACAGACAGACCUCUCCUAAAUCUUUACAACCAUUGAAUCUUUAUGUUUUGACCAUGACAGUUUACAAUCUAAGGUAACAAGUAAUUUAGUCUCCUCAACUUGUUCAACAGCCAUUACCAGAUUCAGCUGAGGUCUAGAAUGCCGCAAUACUGAUUAUUGGACGACACUACAACUCAUCAUAACAGACACGUGUAUCACCUCAAAUAUCUCAUAUCAUAUACUCAUACUACAUUCGGUUACAUUCUACUAUUGUUUACAUAUUGCGCGUCAUGUUCAAUGGGCCAAGAGAAUGAAAAUACAAGCGACAGAACCUAGCAACACUUUCCAGUGGAUAUCUCCAACUCCUACUGCCAAAAGGACCAGCAGCAUGUACAACCGGUAAAUCUGCUGUUUAGGCAAGCCCCAAGACAGAGCCUCUCCAACCCAAAGUUGUCCAACCAUCCCUACUUCACCCUGGAGAGACUGGGGCCUGUGCUUAGACCGCUGGCAGGUGGAGGUACAGUCAGAGGCCUGAACAGCGACUCCUUCAACUCUCUAUCGGUUUCUUACUUGUAGUCUUGUUUUAUUCUCACUCUGAACUGCUGCUACUUCAUGUAGUAGGUGUAUGGAUGCUCCAUUUGUGUAACGGCAUUGUUGUCAUCUCCUCUUUCUCCUCUUUCUCUAAUGUUUAUCUUCACUGAUACGCAAGUAUUUUAAAGUGUGCCCGACAACUGAUGUAAAAGGGCUUUAUAAAUAAAUUUGAUUGUACGCAAGUCUUUAUACUGCAUGUAUUGGUUAUCUAAUCUUUCUCACUGGUAGGGUUCUGUUUUUUUCUGAGAUGGUUUCACUACGACAGGUGAUGAUACCAGGCAAGUAAUACGCCAGUCAUCUGACGAUUUCACUGUCAAUAGUUUUACUUUUCUUCUGACCAACACGUUCCUCGCCUUUCCCACCUUCCCGGUUCUCCCCCAGUGGACAGUGUGUGACUUGAGUUUAAUCAGUCGUCUGCGGUGGAUCGUGGACUUGUGCAACCUGUGGUUAUACUGGACCUCGCUGAGGUGCACUGGGGCCAGGCUGAAGGUCUAGGAUGAUCCGAGUCCAGUAUUAGCAGGAGAGGAGAUAAGCAGAUUCCCCUCUAUACUGGCUCGCUUCUGAGUGGCUCUGUCUGUCGGCGCACUACAGAUAUGCACCUUCUGACGGUCUGCAUGGGAAUCAGUUUUGCCUUUUCACUUUUCACUUCUCACAAACAAAACAACUGCCAAAUCAACAUCCACAAUAAUCAAAAUAAGAGAUGGACGGAUGGGAAUAGCAAAAGGAGACCUGACCUGAUUCUCGGCCAAAUAACUUAUAGAUUUGCGCUGCUUUUAUAUUAUGACAAGUAACGGGGACUCCAAAUGAUGAUGGAUCACUGUUCGUUUGUUGUUCUAAUGAUAAUAUACACGGUUUGCAUUGAUACAAUUUCAGUUGCUGCCCUUUGAAAUGUUGCUUGAGUAGUAAUAUUGUAAUAAAGAAAAGUUUCAAGACA
Molecule: long non-coding RNA, 1879 nt
Organism: Oncorhynchus keta (chum salmon)
Lineage: Eukaryota; Metazoa; Chordata; Actinopteri; Salmoniformes; Salmonidae
Exons: 5
Source: RefSeq, a predicted model, not a curated record